Molecule: long non-coding RNA, 425 nt
Organism: Nilaparvata lugens (brown planthopper)
Lineage: Eukaryota; Metazoa; Arthropoda; Insecta; Hemiptera; Delphacidae
Exons: 3
Source: RefSeq, a predicted model, not a curated record
UUGGAGAAUUUGGUUCUAUGUGCAGUGGCUGGGGGAUGGGAGGCAUUCCUGGGUGGGCCUCUCUUAUUUGGUGCCCUUUGAGAGGGCACCAAACCCCCAGCAAACUCCAUAUGAUAUGUUGAAAAACUACAUCCAAACUUGCUGAGAGACAAGAGCAGCUAGAGCUUGAACAACAACAACAACUGCAGCAGCAGCAUCAAGAACUGCAGGAGCAAGAGCUGCAGCAGCAGCAACAACUGCUUCAGCAGCAGCAACAACUGCUUCAGCAACAACAACGAAUGCUGCAGCAACAACAACAACAACAAGAUGAAGAGGAGUUCAAUAUGCAAGCUGAGAUGUUUCUGGGUGAUAUCAUGUGGGGAAGGUGCGGCAAACAGCCAUAUUGGCCAUGCCUUGUAGUAAGGGAUGAAGAAGGGAGGUUUUAU